UACAGAGGUCCCGAGCGUUGUUCGGAUUCACUGGGCGUAAAGGGUGCGUAGGUGGUCGUGUAAGUCUGACGUGAAAUCUCCGAGCUUAACUCGGAAAUGGCGUUGGAUACUAUUCGGCUGGAGGGUUGGAAGGGGGACUGGAAUUCUCGGUGUAGCAGUGAAAUGCGUAGUUAUCGAGAGGAACACCGGUGGCGAAGGCGAGUCCCUGGACAAUUCCUGACACUGAGGCACGAAAGCUAGUGGAGCAAACAGG
RNAcentral lists this ribosomal RNA (253 nucleotides) under uncultured bacterium. Its description in RNAcentral is "partial 16S ribosomal RNA". It matches the Rfam family "Bacterial small subunit ribosomal RNA", at positions 524 to 776 of the family's 1533-position model. The record is from RNAcentral.